RNAcentral lists this ribosomal RNA (613 nucleotides) under uncultured bacterium. RNAcentral's name for it is "bacterial SSU rRNA". It matches the Rfam family "Bacterial small subunit ribosomal RNA", at positions 338 to 951 of the family's 1533-position model. The record is from RNAcentral.
CCUACGGGAGGCAGCAGUAAGGAAUAUUGGUCAAUGGGCGCAAGCCUGAACCAGCCAUGCCGCGUGCAGGAUGACGGCCCUCUGGGUUGUAAACUGCUUUUAUACGGGAAGAACAGCAUCUACGUGUAGGUGUUUGACGGUACUGUAAGAAUAAGGACCGGCUAACUUCGUGCCAGCAGCCGCGGUAAUACGAAGGGUCCAAGCGUUAUCCGGAUUUAUUGGGUUUAAAGGGUGCGUAGGCGGCUUUUUAAGUCAGUGGUGAAAGCCUGAUGCUCAACAUCAGAACUGCCAUUGAUACUGAAGAGCUUGAGUACAGUUGAGGUUGGCGGAAUGUGUCAUGUAGCGGUGAAAUGCUUAGAUAUGACACAGAACACCGAUUGCGAAGGCAGCUAGCUAAGCUGUUACUGACGCUGAUGCACGAAAGCGUGGGGAGCAAACAGGAUUAGAUACCCUGGUAGUCCACGCCCUAAACGUUGAUAACUCGUUGCUAGCGAUAUACUGUUAGCGACCAAGCGAAAGCAUUAAGUUAUCCACCUGGGAAGUACGGUCGCAAGAUUGAAACCUUAAAGGAAAUUGACGGCUGAGAGAGCGAGGACGACGACGAGGGAGGAGG